CCAGUGCAAAAAAGAUUUUCGAUAUCUCAUCCAAAAUGGAUCCGAUUCGAAUUCAAUUCAAAGCUGGUUCGAAAUAAUUUCAAAAGACUGUCAUUCCCAAAUACUUUAGAACUUUUAUACCAAAUCUAACUUAAAUUUUGAAUCCAAUUAAAUCUAAUUAAUUUAUAUCUAAUUUAAAAUUAAUUAGUACUUAAAUUUAAUCUUUUAUAUGCUCUAU
This 217-nucleotide long non-coding RNA is filed under the name Elaeis guineensis (African oil palm). RNAcentral's name for it is "long non-coding RNA (EGUI_LNC066046)". The record is from RNAcentral. Lineage: Eukaryota; Viridiplantae; Streptophyta; Magnoliopsida; Arecales; Arecaceae.